GCUUUGAGUGAUGAUGAUUUGAUUUUACACAUAUUCUCUAGCUUAGGUCCAAAUUAUGACUCUGUUGCUACAUAUAUAACUAGACAAGUAGGUAUUGGGAAAAUGAAUGUAAAUGAAACUUAUACCAUGCUUUUAAC
Molecule: small nucleolar RNA, 137 nt
Filed under: Citrus sinensis (sweet orange)
Lineage: Eukaryota; Viridiplantae; Streptophyta; Magnoliopsida; Sapindales; Rutaceae
Description: Small nucleolar RNA Z247
Rfam family: Small nucleolar RNA Z247
About the family: Z247 is a member of the C/D class of snoRNA which contain the C (UGAUGA) and D (CUGA) box motifs. Most of the members of the box C/D family function in directing site-specific 2'-O-methylation of substrate RNAs.
Source: Rfam by way of RNAcentral